CACCUCUGGUGCACCAGUUGUCACGCCAGUGGCACAGCUGGGUAGCUAUGUGCGGACGGGAUAAGCGCUGAAAGCAUCUAAGCGUGAAGCCCCCUUCAAGAUGAGACUUCCCAUAGCGCAAGCUAGUAAGACCCCUUAUAGACGAUGAGGUUGAUAGGUUCGGUGUGGAAGUGCAGUAAUGCAUGGAGCUGACGAAUACUAAUCGGUCGAGGACUUAUCCACA
RNAcentral lists this ribosomal RNA (223 nucleotides) under Brevibacillus laterosporus. Its description in RNAcentral is "partial 23S ribosomal RNA". It matches the Rfam family "Bacterial large subunit ribosomal RNA", at positions 2704 to 2925 of the family's 2925-position model. Lineage: Bacteria; Bacillati; Bacillota; Bacilli; Caryophanales; Paenibacillaceae. The record is from RNAcentral.